GAGGGAAAGAGAGCAUGAAAACGUGUGCCUAAAAAUAGUAAGAGCACGUUAAUGGGUGAGGGCGGGCCUUUAGUAGAAUGAAAAAGCGAGUUACGAUCCCGUGCGAGGAUAAGAUGAAGAGGAGGAGCAGAAGGGAAAGAGAGUCUGAAUAGGGCGUUUAGUACGUGGUGGUAGAGCAGAAACGAGGUGAUCAACAAAUGUCGAGGGAGAAGUUGAGGUAACACUGAAUGGAGGC
This 235-nucleotide ribosomal RNA is filed under the name Bacillus mycoides. RNAcentral's name for it is "partial 23S ribosomal RNA". It matches the Rfam family "Bacterial large subunit ribosomal RNA", at positions 536 to 773 of the family's 2925-position model. Lineage: Bacteria; Bacillati; Bacillota; Bacilli; Caryophanales; Bacillaceae. The record is from RNAcentral.